Long non-coding RNA from Larimichthys crocea (large yellow croaker), 3234 nucleotides. RefSeq lists it as uncharacterized. The transcript is spliced from 5 exons. The record is from RefSeq and is a predicted model, not a curated record. NCBI's taxonomy places the organism in Eukaryota, Metazoa, Chordata, Actinopteri, Sciaenidae.
CCACUGUUGAUUUUGCUUAUGCGUGACGGCAGCCUUAAGGCAGAACCUUUGUGAUUCUAUUAUUGGGGUGAACGGACAAAAAUAUGGAGAGGCUCCAUACUAUUUUGGCCUCAUGUAUCUCUGCUGAGCCUCAAAUAAGCUAUGCAUCGUCGUGGUCUUUUCAGCAGCAGUAAGCCUCAGAGCGCUGGAAAGAAGCAAGAGCCUCUGCCAUGAGCCUGCUGUUAUCAGAUUUGAUCUUGGUAUCAAGGUAUGCAGGGCCGGUUUUAGCUAUGGGCAACGUGGGCGACCGCCGAGGGCGCAGUCUCCAUGAGGGCGCUCAAGCGGCCCCCAAAUAAAUUCGCCUCCUGGGGGGUUCGCCCAGGGCCCAAAUGUGGCCAGAACCUGCGCUGAUGGGCAUUAUGACUUGCAUCAGUCACUAUAUCUCUGUGAAUCAUGUCAGCAGCAGUGGACCCCCAAUUUAAAGGACCCCCUGAGGAGUGGAUAUUGGCCGGCGACUGUCCACACUGCACAUAUUGGACCUCCUUAGCUCCUUUCAGAACCUCAGGUUUAUCUCUCUGGGAUUCUCCAGACAGGUUUUUGCUGCUGCUGGAGCAUCGCACAAAGUGUGGAGGAAGAGUCCAAGGGCCUGUGUAAUCCACAAACUUUUUUACUCAUCAAGGAGAGUAAUGAAAAAAGAGGAGAUUGAAGUCAAAGAGAAAGAAAUCCUUGAUAUUUUUCCAAAGACUACUGUUGAGCUUCCCGAACCCCCGAAGAUCCAGAGUAUAUGGAAUCUAAGAUUUCUCAAAGGGCCCAUUCUUGUCUUAAAGAUGAGAAACGUGGCCACAGUGGACAAAUCAAAGAAUUUGUCCCAAACAUGUCUGAUUUUCUGUGGUGCAAACACUCUUCUUUGACGUUCUGGGGUUUCCAGAAGUCAUUGAGGAAAAGAUUGAAUAAGUCAUCCAGAAAAAGACUGACAAAGUCAUCGGGGAUGACACUGAAUACGAUUACCAGGAGACUACUGACGAACUUCCAAAAGAAUUAAGAGCUAAUGCUUCUCUUGAAGAGACCUUGAAAAAGGAAAAAUCUAGAGCUUAACAGGAAGAGGUUCUUGAGCAGGAGCGGGAAGAAAAAGAGGAAAGAAAGUGGAAGCUGAAAAAGAUGAUCUUCCUGCUGUAAUCAACUUCAUGAAAGCACAAGUGGCUUAAGAAGUCACAGAUGUCGCUUCAGGAGACGCAUGAAAAGCAAAGAUGCACAAUCACUGCAAUGACAGCUGAAUUUGAAGAGAGGAAGAAGCUGAUCAUUGAGCUCCAAAAAGAUCUAGAGGCAUCCACUCUUCAGCAUGAAAAAGAAAUGGCUGAGAGUCAGUCAGAUUGUGCUGAAGUUAUAAAUUGCUAAAUGAACAUCUCAUUCAGCAACAGGAGAAAAGUCAAUCUCUAUGUCAAAUUUCAGACUUUUCAAAUGACUAUUGAAGCCAAGGACGUCAUAAAAAAGGAAAGGAUGGGGCGGCGUUUAGCUCAGUAGGUAGAACAGCCGCCCCAUAUGAGAAGGCUCGCUGUGGAGGCCCAGGCUCGAAUCCCGACCUGUGUGGCCCCUUCCCGCAUGUCAUUCCCCCUCUCUCUCGCCGCGUUUCCUGUCGAUCUUCAGCUGUGCUAUCUAUAAAGGCAAAAGGCCAAAACAAAAAACAAAAAAACAGGAAAGGACUCUGAGUUGCAGUUUUUCCUCAUCCAAGUCAAAGGUCUAAGGAUAGAUGGCAUAUGUGCUACUGGAUGUGACAUUAAUAAGUUGCAUUAAUAAAAUCUGCAACAAUAAGAAAAAAUAAAAUCUGUCCUCCUUUACACAGUAGCUCCUCACCAAAAUGCAGCCAGAUAAUUGUUGAAGCAAGCAAGAAAGAAAGGUGUAUUAUAUAAUAUUUCUUCUGAUCCAUCUUUUUACCAAAUGUAGUUCUGUCAUUAAUUAUUCUCAUUUUAAAGAAAAUACAUGAUGGUCUGUAAUAAAUAUUUUGUAUUUUCUUCAAUGCUUUGGCCUAGGGUUCAAAUAAAUUUCCACAUUUAGAUAUGUCUUUCUGUGAGCCAAUCUUAAAUACAUAAGAACAACACAUAGUGAAAAGCAAAUCCAAUGUACUCUAUAACUUACAUUGGAUUACGGUACGUUACCCAUGUACAGUGUUAUGACCCAGGGUCAUUAUUUAGUGUUAUGUUAUUUUUGUGUUAUUGUUCCUCCCUGCCUAGGGGUGGUGCUACCACCUUAGGGUCUCUCCCUCUCUCCAGGUGCUGCCUGCCAAUUGGUUAAUGGACUGGUGGAUCAGCUAUAAAUGGCCGCCGCUGGAUUCAUUCGGCCUCUUCUCUUGACCUUGCUCCCAACUGCACCAGGCCGUGUUGUACUGUGUUGUACUGUGUUGUACUGUGUUGUACUGUGUUGUGUUCUGUGAAGUUGUACUGGUCUGCUUUAGCAGACUUUAGCUUAGCAGUCCAGGUAGUAGCUCUUUUGGUUUGUCUCCUUUUUUCUCCUGUUUAUUUUAUAGGGAGGCAGGUUAGAAACCUGUAUUUUGUUUUCCUUGUUUUGGUUAGGUAAGUUAGUUUGGGUCAGAUUGUUUUGUUUGUUGUUUUGGGCCCUCCCUGAAGCUUUAAACUACCACUUUUGAAAUAUUAACAAUAAUAAUUGAAUAAAUGAUCUUUGGUUGGACUGCAGCUCUGUGGCCUUGGUCAUUCUUGGGAGUGGGGAAAGAGGGGAGCGUCCUUUUCUUGUUAUGUUCGGUUCCCCUAGGCCGGACGUAACAUGAAGUGGGGGCUCGUCCGUUUUUUCUCUAUUGAUCUGUGUUAGUUCGCUUUGUUUCCCCACUUGUAGUCUUUGCUUGUCUGUUUGGCAGUUUUUUUUUGUGGUGGUGGCGGAAGUGAAAUGGAGUUCAAAUUAGCGGAGUUUGUGGCUAAUCCGACCCCAGAGGUGUUAAAAAAGUGUAAAAGGGCUGAUUUGUGCCUUAUCGCUAGUUCAUUUGGUGUGCAUGUGUCAUCUAACGCAAAGAAGGAAGAGUUAUAUGAUCUGCUCUAUGAGAAGUUGACAGAAAGGGGAUGGAUUGGGGAGCCAGCUCCCACAGAUGGAGUUGAGCUGGGUGUUCUGGCUGGUGUUCCUACCACAAUCCCAACCUCCCAGUCCCAAACUGGCAUGAAUGCCGAGGAGCUAAGGCUCACCCUGGCCAAAGAGUGUGUGGCCUCUGCUACUCCAGUGUAAGUUAGUUGGGAAAGCACAGGAAGUGUGCAA